AGCCUACUCUUGGCUUGCAUAAACCCCGGACAAGGAAAUUGAUACCUUGUCCAAGUGUCCACUGUGCCACUGGGUACAAAAACGCGCUUCAAGUUGUUAAGAAUAGUUUAUGUUGGUCACCUUCCAAGGAGUCCCUCUGAAAUACUGUAAAUUUUAAGAGGAACAAAUAUUACAUCCGCUAUGGCGAGGACACCAAUACGGACAGUGACAUUCAUCAACUCCAGACAGUAUCGCUUCCAGAAAACAAGGUUCACUCUAGUUGCCAGAGGUGUUGCAGCUGUUCGAAAGGUUGUCCUUUUUGAUUGCCACACUACAAGUCUUCUCAACAGUUCUGUUUGAACAGACCACAAUCCCAGGAGGGGGAUCAGAGAAGUAUUGCAACGUUGCCAGGAUUUCUAAAAAGCUUGGGUAGCCUAUUAUUGCUUGCGGGCGUGUCCCAAUUUUACUCACAAUUCCAUAUCAGGACGUGCGGAUAGAAACUAAUUUCCUAACAACUAGCUUUAUGGAUGAAGUCCAGGUUUUUCUACAUCAUGGUUCUGCUCACAGGAGGUCUCGCUAUGAACGAAGGAAAAAACGAUUCGUGCUCCAACUACACUCAGUCGAUGUGGAUGGUGCAAGAUGCUGAAUGGAAGUUGUCAAUGAGCAGUUUAAGACGGAGAACCUCAGCACUAUUUUCAAAUCUGUGGAGAAACGAGAAAGGGUUCUUGGAAACACAGCAUUGAAUGAGACGACUUCAAUCAUUGUUGAGAGGCUUGUGGCCCAUAUAUUCAGGGCCGAGGGCAAGUUUACUGGGCUUAAUAUAUUUGCCACUCGAGAAGGGGCAAGAUGACAGUGACCCACAAUGCAAUAAUUGAGGAAGUUUAGACACAGUUUUUUGAAAACCACGUGCAGUUUGGCAUUUAUUGGGAAUGGGAUGAAUGUUGUCCUGUAGGCAGUUCUGCAGAGUGGUCACUAGCUGCCUUAGCCAUACAAAGUUAUAAAAUCUGACUUUAAGUCUCCCUAAUAUUAACCCAAACCUUAACCACACUGCUAACCGUAUGCCCUAACCUUAAAUUUGUUUUUAUAAAACAUUUUACGAUAUAGCCAAUUUGACUUUGCGGCUGGCCCAUCUAGCGGAAAGCGCUUAGCUCGGCCUCCGUGACAAGAUUCAUCUCAAUAAACUUCAAACCUGCAAACUGCGUCACAUGCAAAUACAUUUGAAGUCGGAGGUUUACAUACACUUAGGUUGGAGUCAUUAAAACUAGUUUUUCAACCACUCCACAAAUGUCUUGUUAUCAAACUAUAGUUUUGGCAAG
Molecule: long non-coding RNA, 1295 nt
Organism: Oncorhynchus gorbuscha (pink salmon)
Lineage: Eukaryota; Metazoa; Chordata; Actinopteri; Salmoniformes; Salmonidae
Exons: 4
Source: RefSeq, a predicted model, not a curated record